This 467-nucleotide ribosomal RNA is filed under the name uncultured bacterium. Its description in RNAcentral is "partial 16S ribosomal RNA". It matches the Rfam family "Bacterial small subunit ribosomal RNA", at positions 28 to 506 of the family's 1533-position model. The record is from RNAcentral.
GACGAACGCUGGCGGCGUGCUUAACACAUGCAAGUCGAACGGAAAGGCCCUGCUUUUGUGGGGUGCUCGAGUGGCGAACGGGUGAGUAACACGUGGGUAACCUGCCCUUGACUUUGGGAUAACUUCAGGAAACUGGGGCUAAUACCGGCUAGGAGCUCCUGCUGCAUGGUGGGGGUUGGAAAGUUUCGGCGGUUGGGGAUGGACUCGCGGCUUAUCAGCUUGUUGGUGGGGUAGUGGCUUACCAAGGCUUUGACGGGUAGCCGGCCUGAGAGGGUGACCGGCCACAUUGGGACUGAGAUACGGCCCAGACUCCUACGGGAGGCAGCAGUGGGGAAUAUUGCACAAUGGGCGGAAGCCUGAUGCAGCAACGCCGCGUGCGGGAUGACGGCCUUCGGGUUGUAAACCGCUUUCGCCUGUGACGAAGCGUGAGUGACGGUAAUGGGUAAAGAAGCACCGGCUAACUACGU